AGUGAACGCUGGCGGUAGGCCUAACACAUGCAAGUCGAACGGCAGCACAGUAAGAGCUUGCUCUUACGGGUGGCGAGUGGCGGACGGGUGAGGAAUACAUCGGAAUCUACUUUUUCGUGGGGGAUAACGUAGGGAAACUUACGCUAAUACCGCAUACGACCUACGGGUGAAAGCAGGGGAUCUUCGGACCUUGCGCGAUUGAAUGAGCCGAUGUCGGAUUAGCUAGUUGGCGGGGUAAAGGCCCACCAGGGCGACGAUCCGUAGCUGGUCUGAGAGGAUGAUCAGCCACACUGGAACUGAGACACGGUCCAGACUCCUACGGGAGGCAGCAGUGGGGAAUAUUGGACAAUGGGCGCAAGCCUGAUCCAGCCAUACCGCGUGGGUGAAGAAGGCCUUCGGGUUGUAAAGCCCUUUUGUUGGGAAAGAAAAGCAGCAGGUUAAUACCCCGCUGUUCUGACGGUACCAAAAGAAUAAGCACCGGCUAACUUCGU
RNAcentral lists this ribosomal RNA (491 nucleotides) under uncultured bacterium. Its description in RNAcentral is "partial 16S ribosomal RNA". It matches the Rfam family "Bacterial small subunit ribosomal RNA", at positions 29 to 506 of the family's 1533-position model. The record is from RNAcentral.